RNAcentral lists this ribosomal RNA (484 nucleotides) under uncultured bacterium. Its description in RNAcentral is "partial 16S ribosomal RNA". It matches the Rfam family "Bacterial small subunit ribosomal RNA", at positions 28 to 507 of the family's 1533-position model. The record is from RNAcentral.
AUUGAACGCUGGCGGCAUGCUUUACACAUGCAAGUCGAACGGCAGCGCGGGCUUCGGCCUGGCGGCGAGUGGCGAACGGGUGAGUAAUGCAUCGGAACGUGCCCAGUAGUGGGGGAUAGCCCGGCGAAAGCCGGAUUAAUACCGCAUACGACCUGAGGGUGAAAGCGGGGGACCGAAAGGCCUCGCGCUAUUGGAGCGGCCGAUGUCGGAUUAGCUAGUUGGUGGGGUAAAGGCUUACCAAGGCGACGAUCCGUAGCUGGUCUGAGAGGACGACCAGCCACACUGGGACUGAGACACGGCCCAGACUCCUACGGGAGGCAGCAGUGGGGAAUUUUAGACAAUGGGGGCAACCCUGAUCCAGCCAUGCCGCGUGCGGGAAGAAGGCCUUCGGGUUGUAAACCGCUUUUGUUCGGGAAGAAAUCCUCUGGGCUAAUACCCCGGGGGGAUGACGGUACCGGAAGAAUAAGCACCGGCUAACUCCGUG